GUAGGUGGCACGCGUUGUCCGGAAUUAUUGGGCGUAAAGCGCGCGCAGGCGGUUCUUUAAGUCUGAUGUGAAAGCCCACGGCUCAACCGUGGAGGGUCAUUGGAAACUGGAGAACUUGAGUACAGAAGAGGAAAGCGGAAUUCCACGUGUAGCGGUGAAAUGCGUAGAGAUGUGGAGGAACACCAGUGGCGAAGGCGGCUUUCUGGUCUGUAACUGACGCUGAGGCGCGAAAGCGUGGGGGAGCAAACAGGAUUAGAUACCCUGGUAGUCCACGCCGUAAACGAUGAGUGCUAAGUGUUAGGGGGUUUCCGCCCCUUAGUGCUGCAGCUAACGCAUUAAGCACUCCGCCUGGGAGUACGGCCGCAAGGCUG
This 371-nucleotide ribosomal RNA is filed under the name uncultured organism. RNAcentral describes it as "partial 16S ribosomal RNA". It matches the Rfam family "Bacterial small subunit ribosomal RNA", at positions 527 to 896 of the family's 1533-position model. The record is from RNAcentral.